This is a ribosomal RNA of 445 nucleotides. It matches the Rfam family "Bacterial small subunit ribosomal RNA", at positions 137 to 596 of the family's 1533-position model.
UCUGGGAUAAGCCUGGGAAACUGGGUCUAAUACCGGAUAGGAGCGCCUACCGCAUGGUGGGUGUUGGAAAGAUUUAUCGGUUUUGGAUGGACUCGCGGCCUAUCAGCUUGUUGGUGAGGUAAUGGCUCACCAAGGCGACGACGGGUAGCCGGCCUGAGAGGGUGACCGGCCACACUGGGACUGAGACACGGCCCAGACUCCUACGGGAGGCAGCAGUGGGGAAUAUUGCACAAUGGGCGCAAGCCUGAUGCAGCGACGCCGCGUGAGGGAUGACGGCCUUCGGGUUGUAAACCUCUUUCAGUAGGGAAGAAGCGAAAGUGACGGUACCUGCAGAAGAAGCACCGGCUAACUACGUGCCAGCAGCCGCGGUAAUACGUAGGGUGCGAGCGUUAUCCGGAAUUAUUGGGCGUAAAGAGCUCGUAGGCGGUUUGUCGCGUCUGUCGUG